CCAGACUCCUACGGGAGGCAGCAGUAGGGAAUCUUCGGCAAUGGACGGAAGUCUGACCGAGCAACGCCGCGUGAGUGAAGAAGGUUUUCGGAUCGUAAAGCUCUGUUGUAAGAGAAGAACGAGUGUGAGAGUGGAAAGUUCACACUGUGACGGUAUCUUACCAGAAAGGGACGGCUAACUACGUGCCAGCAGCCGCGGUAAUACGUAGGUCCCGAGCGUUGUCCGGAUUUAUUGGGCGUAAAGCGAGCGCAGGCGGUUAGAUAAGUUUGAAGUUAAAGGCUGUGGCUUAACCAUAGUACGCUUUGGAAACUGUUUAACUUGAGUGCAAGAGGGGAGAGUGGAAUUCCAUGUGUAGCGGUGAAAUGCGUAGAUAUAUGGAGGAACACCGGUGGCGAAAGCGGCUCUCUGGCUUGUAACUGACGCUGAGGCUCGAAAGCGUGGGGAGCAAACAGGAUUAGAUACCCUGGCAGUCCACGCCGUAAACGAUGAGUGCUAGGUGUUAGACCC
Molecule: ribosomal RNA, 507 nt
Filed under: uncultured bacterium
Lineage: Bacteria
Description: bacterial SSU rRNA
Rfam family: Bacterial small subunit ribosomal RNA
Source: RNAcentral